RNAcentral lists this ribosomal RNA (487 nucleotides) under Dactylogyrus balistae. RNAcentral describes it as "SSU rRNA". It matches the Rfam family "Eukaryotic small subunit ribosomal RNA", at positions 1359 to 1831 of the family's 1831-position model. Lineage: Eukaryota; Metazoa; Platyhelminthes; Monogenea; Dactylogyridea; Dactylogyridae. The record is from RNAcentral.
UUUUUAUGUGGACCUCUGUUCUUGUGCCUUGUGUGCUUGGAUGGAACCACAUAAGCAGGUGAAACUUCUUAGAGGAACUGGCGCCCAAAAAGGCGCACGAGAAAGAGCAAUAACAGGUCUGUGAUGCCCUAAGAUGUCCGGGGCCGCACGCGUGCUACAAUGACGAUGCUACUGAGCAUGAUUUACUUGUCCGAAAGGACUGGUGAAACUGUUCAAUCAUCGUCGUGACUGGGAUUGGGGUUUGUAAUUAUCCCCCAUGAACCAGGAAUUCCUAGUAAGCACAAGUCAUAAGCUUGUGCUGAUUACGUCCCUGCCCUUUGUACACACCGCCCGUCGCUACUACCGAUUGAAUGGUUUAGCAAGGACAUUGGAUUGAGCCCUUGCGGUUUCGGCUGCUUGGGUUUGAGAAGAUGUCCGAACUUGAUCAUUUAGAGGAAGUAAAAGUCGUAACAAGGUUUCCGUAGGUGAACCUGCGGAAGGAUCAUUA